Non-coding RNA from Phalacrocorax carbo (great cormorant), 3431 nucleotides. NCBI's taxonomy places the organism in Eukaryota, Metazoa, Chordata, Aves, Suliformes, Phalacrocoracidae. The record is from RefSeq and is a predicted model, not a curated record.
UAGUGCGGGGAGGAGCGUAGGGGCGCGGUCGGCCGGAGCGGGGCGUACGCUACCGGCGCAGCGCUGCGGCGGGGGGAUAAUGGUGGUGGAGCCAGGCACCACUGAGGUGCGGCGAGAACACCGCUUCGACGAGGGGAGGUUGGAGCGGUACCUGUGCGGCCACCUGCUCCGCUUCCCUCAGCAGCCCGCUGGGGCUCUGGCUGUCAGGCAGUACAGCUCAGGCCAGUCAAAUCCAACCUUUUAUCUUCAGAAGGGUGGGCAGGCUUAUGUGCUCAGGAAGAAGCCCCAUGGCCCCCUUUUACCUAGAGCUCACAAGGUUGAUAGAGAAUACCAUGUGCAGAAAGCCUUAUUUUCUGCUGGAUUUCCAGUGCCUGAGCCCCUGUUGUACUGCAGUGACGUGUCUAUCAUUGGAACGGAAUUUUAUGUGAUGCAGCAUGUGCAGGGUCGUAUCUUCCGAGACCUCUCACUGCCAGAAGUGGGCCCAGCAGAGCGUUCUGCUUUGUAUAUUGCAAUGAUAGAAACUUUGGCCCUGUUGCACUCCUUUGAUUUACAGUCAUUGGGUCUCCAAGGGUAUGGUAGAGGACCAGGAUACUGCAGAAGACAGGUAUCAACUUGGAAGAGACAGUAUGAUGCAGCUGCUCAUACAGGUAUUCCUGCCAUGAACAAGCUGGCUGAGUGGUUAGCAAACAACUUGCCACCUAAUGAUAAUGAAGAAAGCCUGAUUCAUGGAGACUUUAGAAUAGAUAACAUCAUCUUCCACCCAACAGAGGCACGUGUUUUAGCAGUGCUGGACUGGGAACUUUCAACUGCUGGUCAUCCUUUAGCAGAUUUAGCAUAUGCCACUCUGUUCUACUUCUGGCCUACAUCUAUCAAGGACUUAGGUCAAGGAACUGUCUUGGGUUUCAAAGACACCAUAGAAACUCCUUCAUUUGAAGAACUGGUUUCCAUUUAUUGCCGCUGCCGGGGUAUUAGCACUACUUUAUCCAACUUCAAUUUUUUUCUCGCUUUGUCAUAUUUUAAAAUGGCAGCAAUAUCCCAGGGUAUAUAUGCUAGAUAUCUCAUUGGAAAUGCUUCUGCAGAGAAUAGUCAUGAAUUUGCUAAGAUUGUGAAGCCUUUGGCAGAGAGAGGGUUAGAGCUCUCGAAAAGGUCAUCUUUCAGCAGCACACUUCACAGCAUUUCUGGAGAGAUGUUCCAUCAAAGUAGGAAAGGCCAAGAAAUUCUGCGGAAGGUCAAGCAGUUCAUGAAGCAGCAUAUAUAUCCAGCUGAGAAGGAAAUAAUAAAAUACUAUGCUGGACAUGGAAAUACUGAGGAAAAAUGGAAGAAACCACCACUGCUUGAGAAAUUGAAGGAAAUGGCCAAAGCAGAAGGUCUGUGGAACCUUUUUCUCCCAGAUGUCAGUGGUCUUAGCCAGCUCGACUAUGCGCUAAUAGCUGAGGAGACAGGGAAAUGCUUCUUUGCUCCUGAGGUUUUCAACUGUCAUGCACCAGACACUGGAAACAUGGAGGUCCUGCACAUGUAUGGGACUGAAGAGCAAAAGAAAGAGUGGCUGGAACCUCUCCUAGAAGGGGAGAUUAGUUCUUGCUUCUGCAUGACAGAACCAGAUGUGGCUUCAAGUGAUGCAACCAAUAUGCAAUGCAGCAUUGAGCGAGAUGGAAACAGUUAUGUGAUCAACGGCAAGAAGUGGUGGAGCAGUGGUGCUGGAAACCCAAAUUGCAAAGUUGCAAUUGUCAUGGGCAAAACCAAAAACUCCUCAGCAUCCAGGUACAAGCAGCAUAGUAUGAUCAUUGUUCCCAUGGCCACGCCAGGGCUGAAGCUGAUAAGACCCCUCUCAGUGUUUGGCUAUCUGGAUGAGAUCCAUGGAGGGCAUUUUGAGAUACACUUUAAUGAUGUGCGAGUACCUGUCUCCAAUAUAAUACUGGGUGAGGGCAGGGGGUUUGAGAUAGCUCAAGGUCGGCUUGGGCCAGGCCGUAUUCAUCACUGCAUGAGGUCCCUUGGUGCGGCUGAAACUGCUUUACAGAUAAUGUGCCAGCGCGCAGCGCAGAGAGAGACUUUCGGGAAGAAACUGUAUCACCACGUAAGCACAUUUCCUCUUUGUCCCAAUUCACGUGCUCCAGACCUCCAGACACCAUCCUGUGUUUUGCCCACACAGAACCUUGUGUGGUAUCAGACUCUGAUGGUGGACACUGCAAUAGACGUGCCCUAACCUUGAAUUCCUAUUCAUAACGCUCCAGGUGGCAAAGGAAAAAAAAAAUCACAUUGCGAGGCUCCCAGCUUUCACUGUAACCUAUGGGACAUUUUUUUUCCCUUGCAGUGAAUUGGAUGCCUGUUGCUGGAUUUGAGUACAGAUUUUGUUGCUGUGGGUUUUUUUCUCUGCUUUCACUGAUCAGUUCGGACAGGUAUUUUUUCAGGCAUACAGUUUAUGUUUCCAUAGUUAUAAUCUGAAUUCACCAUUUUUGCAUAUCGAAUUAGUCACUGAGACUUCUCCCAUUCCUGAUUACUGGAGAUGCUCGAGGGUCUAAAUUUGACUAAAAAUUUUACUUCUCUGAUCAAUUAUUUGUACUUACUUAUAAGAGUACAGGCCAAACCAAAGCCAUAGCGGGAUUUUUGGUCUUAUCUUACUCUGGAAUUGCAAUACUGUUUUGUGAGAGAGAGAGCUUGCUAGAACAAUAAAAAGAGGACAGUCUGCUUUUUAUAGGAACCAUCAACAUUUACUAGUUGGCCUAUCACAUUUCAAGUGUUCCUCAGUCUUAUCCAACAGAUAGGAUGACUCUAUUGGAAUAAACAAGUAAAAGCAACGGAAAGAGGGAAUGGAAUUAGUGUCUGGCACAGGUUAUAAAAAUUGCCUGUACAGAUCCAGAGGGAAUAAUCUUACAUAUCUAUUUUCCAGUCAUGUCAUUGCCAAACUUCCAUUUAUGACCAUAGCCUAGAAUUUAUAAGGGUUGGAUGAGGUGCACGCUAUUUCUCCAAAGCUCGUUAAAGUAAAGCCAAGGUUUGAUGAAGCCGGAGGCAAGACCUGAAGGGCAGCUGGGUAGCCAGCAUAGGUCCUGCACAGCUCUGGGCUAGCGAAGGAAGAGGUGGGGCUCUUGGCAGCCUUUGGUAACCGGCUGACUCACCCCUGCCCCCAUGGCAGUUAGUUACAGUCCCAGCAGCUGUCGUCAGAAAGCACGAGUUUGAACACCUCCACCUUUGCUGAGCCCCCAGCCUUUGCACUGAAGUGAGUGAUGCACAUUUGCUCACGUCUCCUGCGGCUGCCAAGGCUACAAGGUCCACGCUGCAGGCAGAAGCGGGUGCCUGCGGCUGGCUCAAGCUCCAAACAGCAUCACAUCAACUUUUUUUUCCUACUGUGGAAGUUGUUGCCCACUGGAUCGCUGAGUGCCGCCUCAGCAUAGAACAGGCUCGACUGCUUACACUAAAAACAGCCAGCAAGAUUG